CAACUAGUGACUUAUGCGCAUUGACGUACGAGGUGUAUUAUAUUUUUGAGUACGUUUUCGUAAACUGAGUAACAUACUGUUCUAUUCGUUGUGAAACUAACCAAAGAAGAAAUGAAGAAUUAUCGAGAGCUGAGUUUGCUAGAUUGAGUACUAAAGAACAAGAUCUGUAUUUAAAACAAGUAUUAGACGAUUCAAAUGCAGAAAAUUACAUGGAGUUGGAUAGUGAUGACAAAGACUAGUUGCUUCAGCAAGAGCGCGCCUCAAAACAAGUAGCUACUAAUAUAGUAGUGCUAGAUGACGCCAAAAAGAAAUCAGAAAUUGAUCUUUACUAUAGUAAAUACAAAAGUGGAGUGGACGCAAUGGAUCAAAUACUGGAAGAUACACAAGCCAGUGGCGUACUCUGAGAUGGCCGCUCAGUCUUUUCUAUAACAUCACAGACAUUGCAACUCUUGUACUUUACAUUAUUUAUUAUAAAAAUAAUAAAAUGUUAAAGAAAAAACAAAUAAAAGAAUAUUCAUGAGACAAUUAAGUUACGAGCUUGCUGUUCCAAUAAUUGAGGAUUAAUCGCAAAAUUUACAAAUGAGACAUUAUAAUGUAAAACUGACAAUGAAGACUAUUCUCGACAAAUUAUAAAAACACGAAAAUCUUGUUCAGAAUGUCAAAAAUCAGUGCGUGAUGAGCACACUAUAAUCAUGACAAAGUGUAUAGAAUGUAAUGAAUAUAUAAUUGUUACUAUGGUUAUUUAUAAAAACUUUUGUUUUUA
This 763-nucleotide long non-coding RNA is filed under the name Monomorium pharaonis (pharaoh ant). Its description in RNAcentral is "uncharacterized LOC105835993, transcript variant X1". The record is from RNAcentral. Lineage: Eukaryota; Metazoa; Arthropoda; Insecta; Hymenoptera; Formicidae.